This is a microRNA precursor of Cebus imitator (Panamanian white-faced capuchin), 84 nucleotides long. The record is from Ensembl. NCBI's taxonomy places the organism in Eukaryota, Metazoa, Chordata, Mammalia, Primates, Cebidae.
AUUAGGUUGGUGCAAAAGUAAUCACAGUUUUUGCCAUUACUUUCAAAGGCAAAGACCGUGAUUACUUUUUUACCAAUCUAAUAG